GAUAGAAUUAGGGGAAGAGUUUCCCGUUUGGCCAAGGACAAGUCUUAGAGAGAGAAUGCAGCUAUGGGUUGUUUAGAACAAACAUUCACAGCAUCCAAGGGGAUGGAUGCAUUGGUCCUGGAUGGGUCACCUACAUCCAUUACACCACUUUCCCUAUACAACAUUUUGUUGUAUUUGAGUUUGAGUUGACUCUAUUCCCCUGGGAUUUGGGAGAGGGAGAAAUGGAGUGCAAUACUUGGACCUAUUUAAUAAGGUCAGAAAUUCCUGGCCAUGGUGAUUGCUUCAGGGAUGAACUUGUGACCCAAAAAAACCUAAUCAGCAUCCUCUCAAGGAUAUAUCUGCUGGACCUAACAAAAAAGAUUCUCCAGACAACAUAAGCCAGAACUUCUUGUGACCAUCUUUCUCAGCUUCAUUGAGAGAACCUGCCUGUAAUAGGAGAGGGGGUCAAUAAGCAAAGAAAGUCCAAGUCAAAAUGAAGCAGGGGAAUAGAAGCUUGAAAAUAUUGAUUGCACCUUUGGACUGAGCUGGACCAAGAUUUUCCAUUCUGUGAUGCAUCAAUUAGGAAUAUUUUUGUUGUAUGGAAUAGAAAGUAUGACUUAAGGAAUAAAACGAACUUGAGGAAUAAAAAAGGGUGAGAGGAGAAAUGGAGAGGGAGAGAGAGAGAGAAAAAAAACUAUAGGCUCACAUAACUGAAUGUGUGGCUAAAAACAGGGCCUGCAUGACAUCACCAUGAUCUAUCUCUUGGAUCUGCUUUCUUAGGACUGUCUCCAUGUUCAGGUUAAACAUGAAUCAAACAAUAAGCUGGGGGAGAGAUGCUCUGGCUUACUAAAAUCUACUUACCCUUUGGCAAUAGUUCCAUAAUUCCUGAAUACUCAUUACUGAGUUCUUUCUUUAGGAUGAAUUAUUUCCCAGUAUUACCAGUUUUCUUUGCCAGUUCUGACCUCAUGAUCACUUAUACACAACUCUUAGGAUAGGACUGCACCUCCCCAUCCUGCCCCAAUACCAUAAAAUACUUGUUCACUACUGCUUUCAUACUUUGCCCCCCGCUUCUCUAAAUUCUGAUACUAUCUUAUUUUAUUAUGCUUUUCUUUUGAUUCUCCCUUCUCAAAUGAGUUCUUAAACUUCUGCAGUGUGAUGCAGCCUUUAUUCCUUCUUCCCAAGGUAAUACACAUAAGCUGUUUAACAUAGUGCCUGACGUAUCGUGUGCUCAAUAAAUAGCGAUGAUGAUGAUGAUGAUGAUGAUGAUGGUGAUGAUGACAAUGAAGAUGAUGGCAAUGAUACAGCAUCACUUCCUCACAGGUUUGGGAAGAUUUGACCAAACCAAUACUUAAGACCCUGAGAUGCAAAGAAUCCAGAGGAAGAAUCCAAGGCCCCAGAGGAUGGCAAAGCCUCACUAUGAAAGGAACUGGUUUAGUGAACAAAUUAAUGAAACAGCUCUUUCCACCCUAAAGUGAUCAAUAUUGGACUGUAGCAUGAGCAAAACAUAAACUUUUACUGUGUUAAGCUAAUGAAAUUUUGGGGAUUAUUUAUUGGAGUAAUUAGCAUUACUUAUCUUGACCAAUACAAUGGGUUUGAUGGGACAAAUAAAGAGUAUGUUUAGCAAUCAA
Molecule: long non-coding RNA, 1607 nt
Organism: Felis catus (domestic cat)
Lineage: Eukaryota; Metazoa; Chordata; Mammalia; Carnivora; Felidae
Exons: 2
Source: RefSeq, a predicted model, not a curated record